RNAcentral lists this ribosomal RNA (379 nucleotides) under Bursa sp. MNHN-IM-2007-43061. Its description in RNAcentral is "partial 12S ribosomal RNA". Lineage: Eukaryota; Metazoa; Mollusca; Gastropoda; Littorinimorpha; Bursidae. The record is from RNAcentral.
UCUUGGCUAUAAAUAAAUAUAGAUUUACCAGAGUACUAUGAAUCAAUUUAAUAAAAUUUAAAACUCAAAGGGCUUGGCGGUGUUUUAGACCUCUCAGGGGAACCUGUCUCAUAAUCGACAAUCCACGUUAAACCUAACCUUUGUUUGCAGUUCAGUUUGUAUACCGUCGUCGUCAGGUAACUUUUAAAAAGUAAGAAGUUGGCAAAAAAAUUAUUUAAAUUUAAACGUCAGAUCAAGGUGCAGCUUAUACAGGGGUGAGGAUGGGUUACAAUUAAAAUUUAUAAUUACGAAUAGGAUAACGAAAUGUUUUUCCUAGUGAAGGAGGACUUGAAAGUAAAGUAAACUAUACAAACAGUUUGAAUAAGGCUCUGAAACGUGC